Molecule: long non-coding RNA, 2561 nt
Organism: Girardinichthys multiradiatus
Lineage: Eukaryota; Metazoa; Chordata; Actinopteri; Cyprinodontiformes; Goodeidae
Exons: 2
Source: RefSeq, a predicted model, not a curated record
UCUUGGACGCCCGUCUUCACGAAACAGCGGAUAAGGAGACCAAUGCUCAGCUGUGUGGCCACACAACAUUACAUAUCAUCUGGAUCCGAACGUCUUAUAUGCACAACGGGGGUUGCCUUGCAAGCUUGCCGAUCAACACCUGCAUCUACCGGCUUCAGCAGACGAGGACGCCCAUCGAACAUCCAAUCUAGAAGCGGAGGGAAAGGGACGGCGUCGUCAAAGACAAGGCUGUUCUUCGCCGCCUCACACCCUCUCAUGAUCUAGGUUCGGCCGUUCGAGGAGGUGCCGAGAAAAAAAAGUCCCUCACCAUCCCCACCCCGAACAGUCUUGGGUCCGCACCGAUGAGCCCAAAUGUCCUGGAAGAGCGCCCUCUCUCUCUCUCUCUCACACACACACACACACACUGGAACGGGCCUCCUCUCUUCUCACCCAGCAGCCCUCAAGGGGAGAAGGAGAUGGACAAACUGACGAACGAACCUAUGGAUGGAUAUUGAGACAGAUCGAUUGGUGAAUGGACAGAAAAGAAACAGAAUGGGAAGGGGGUCGAAUGUUUUUCUCUGUAAAUAUCAAGUCGAUUAAACAAACCGCCCGCAAUAUCAGUUUGACUAAACUCCGUUUUCUGCGGGCACGGCGCAUGACGCACGCAACUUGCACACGCAUGCCACGGCUGGACGCUUCGUUCUUCGUUCAUUGCCUGUUUCUACUCAGGUGCGGAUAGAUGGCUGCGGUAUAGACGCGCCCAUUUCACUUGAGCCACCCCAGUAAUGCGUAAAAUAUUCAGGUAAUGUAAAAAGAAGAGUGGUGUUACACAUUUCAUAAUGUCUAUACUAGGGUAAGCGCUUAUUAUAAUCCAGAUGUGCGUGCAUGGAUGUGUGGCUGAUGUUGGCAUCAUGCAGUUCCUGCAAAAGACACAGCUGCAAUACGAGCUGGCAAUGACAGCGCGCGCACGCGAGCGUGUAAUAGAAAGGAGAAGAUGAAAAAAGAUGCGCGUCACAGUGCGAGAGCGCAGGUCUGCAUGUGUUUGUUAGGGAAGGUGGAGGGGAGAGGCUAUUCUUAGUAACAGACGUUCGGAAAUUAAUGGACGAAGAGAGCUCGUUCUCCCCCCUCCCUCCCUGAAAGUGAGUCGAGGAUCUUCUUUCCUCACUCUCCUCUCUCCUCUACUCGAGGCUACUUUUUUCACCCCAUCACCAAAACAUUAGUGCUCGUUCCAAGGUGUGACCAGCAAGCAACAUGCUCUGCACUAAAGCCGAAGCACCCUGCAUGUAUGUUUUCAGAUGCAACACAAAGAAGAAGGAAGAGGGGAAUAACAAUACGAGAAAAUCAAAUUUUUUGUUAAAGCUCUUCAAUUUUUUGGCUUAUUUAGGAUAUCUCCAGGAAAGAUGCAAAGAGUGAUGUCAUUUGUCACAGUGUGCACCUUCUGUAAAGGGCUGUUGCCACGUUACGUGAAGCGUCAGUGGAGAGGAAGGCCGAACCUCACAUCAUCAUAAUCAUCAUCAUUUUCUUCUUCUUCUUCAUAGGGCAAAAUUGUAUUAAGAGAUCUACUUGAUUGACUCCGCAUAUAGGCGUGUGAAUGCACAGCCGUUCACACACACACACACACACACACACACACACUAACGCGCGCCAGUGAACGGGCAGUGAUGUUGCAUAUCCAGAUUUAAGGGUGACCCGUAGAUUCAGCUCCUCUCACCUAUUGGACAGACUGAACUGGGGAAGCUUGCAAGCACAAAUCGAUAACAGCUCGACCUUAAACGACCAUCCGAUAUGUCGGGAAAAAGAUCAUUUUGCUUUGUGUCCACUAAGGAUAGGCUUUUUGAUUGUGUGGGAGCCUGACCCUACCACAAGGACAGAAAGACGUGAUAGAUAGAUAGAUAGAUAGAUAGAUAGAUAGAUAGAUAGAUAGAUAGAUAGAUAGAUAGAUAGAUAGAUAGAUAGAUAGAUAGAUAGAUAGAUAGAUAGAUAGAUAGAUAGAUAGAUAGAUAGAUAGAUAGAUAGAUAGAUAGAUAGAUAGAUAGAUAGAUAGAUAGAUAGAUAGAUAGAUAGAUAGAUAGAUAGAUAGAUAGAUAAAAAUUUCAGCACCAAGAACAGCGCCACAAACCAUGAAUGGCUGUAACCAAUUUUAUGAAUAGAUAAGUCGAUGCACACAAUGUCCACCAUUUCACAUGCAUGUUUUUUUUUAUUUCAGUUCAGUUAUAUAAAGGGAUCACCCUAAACGUUUUAAAACCGCUGAGUACAAAAAGCCAAAUAUUUGUCAUGUUACGAAGGGCUUAAGUUCCAUGUCAUUUUGGGUUUGUUUUGUAUUGUUGUAGAUUCUAUUGUUUAGUUAAGUUCCAUGUAAUUUCUUUCUGUUUUCUGUAUUUCUCUUGAUUUACAGUAAUUAUUUUUGAGUUAUCUAAUAAUAUAAUUUGGCCAUGUUUUGUUAGUUUACCUUUCCCAGAUUUGUCUUAUUUUCCCUGUCUCCUUUCUCUGUUCUUACCCUCUAAAUUCCUUCACAGCAGAAACCUGUUUGCUAAUUAGACUCACCUGUUUUCCAUACUAGUAAUUAAACUCCUCUGCUAAUA